UGUAAGCGUAUACCAAAGUUGUUGCAGUUAAAACGCUCGUAGUCGGAAUUUGGCAGUUCCGGAUGUGUGCACGUCGUGUGCGCACUUCGCGGGGAUUGCUUUUGUGGUCUUGCGUAGGAUGAGGCACUUUUAUUAGUGAACGUCCUCACGCAACCACUUUUUACUGUGAGAAAAUCGGAGUGCUCAAAGCAGGCAUUUGCCGUGAAUGUAUUAGCAUGGAAUAAUAGAAUAGGACUUGGUUCUAUUUUGUUGGUUUGUUGGGACUGAGUAAUGAUUAAGAGGGACAGUUGGGGGCAUUUGUAUUUCGGUGCUAGAGGUGAAAUUCUUAGAUUACCGAAAGACAAACUGCUGCGAAAGCGUCUGCCAAGGAUGUUUUCAUUGG
RNAcentral lists this ribosomal RNA (382 nucleotides) under uncultured eukaryote. RNAcentral describes it as "partial 18S ribosomal RNA". It matches the Rfam family "Eukaryotic small subunit ribosomal RNA", at positions 592 to 976 of the family's 1831-position model. The record is from RNAcentral.